Molecule: non-coding RNA, 203 nt
Organism: Pelobates cultripes (western spadefoot toad)
Lineage: Eukaryota; Metazoa; Chordata; Amphibia; Anura; Pelobatidae
Source: the annotation of a GenBank genome assembly
CUAAAUUCUUUGAUUAUCCUCACACAAAGAAAAAGUAUGACAUCAAACACAGAAUCAGCUGCAAAACAGAUCAUGAUUUACAAACUUUCAUGUUCCGGUGGUUUAAAUUACAUAGGGAAGACAAACAGUUCUGUGUGAAAAAAUUAGGGGAUAUAGAUCCAGUAUUAGGGCUGCAAUAAGGGAUGACCACACAGAUAAACCAG